This 378-nucleotide ribosomal RNA is filed under the name uncultured bacterium. RNAcentral describes it as "bacterial SSU rRNA". It matches the Rfam family "Bacterial small subunit ribosomal RNA", at positions 523 to 898 of the family's 1533-position model. The record is from RNAcentral.
AUACGUAGGGUGCGAGCGUUGUCCGGAAUUAUUGGGCGUAAAGGGCUCGUAGGCGGUUUGUCGCGUCGGGAGUGAAAACACCGGGCUUAACUCGGUGCUUGCUUUCGAUACGGGCAGACUAGAGGUAUUCAGGGGAGAACGGAAUUCCUGGUGUAGCGGUGAAAUGCGCAGAUAUCAGGAGGAACACCGGUGGCGAAGGCGGUUCUCUGGGAAUAUCCUGACGCUGAGGAGCGAAAGUGUGGGGAGCGAACAGGAUUAGAUACCCUGGUAGUCCACACCGUAAACGUUGGGCGCUAGGUGUGGGGUCCAUUCCACGGAUUCCGUGCCGCAGCUAACGCAUUAAGCGCCCCGCCUGGGGAGUACGGCCGCAAGGCUAAA